GAGGUCAGGCAAGAACACCCGCUGAAC
This 27-nucleotide ribosomal RNA is filed under the name Trebouxia jamesii. Its description in RNAcentral is "partial 26S ribosomal RNA". The record is from RNAcentral. Lineage: Eukaryota; Viridiplantae; Chlorophyta; Trebouxiophyceae; Trebouxiales; Trebouxiaceae.